UACGUAGGGGGCAAGCGUUGUCCGGAAUCAUUGGGCGUAAAGCGCGUGUAGGCGGCUUGGUAAGUCCGCUCUGAAAGCCCGGGGCUCAACCCCGGGAGGCGGGUGGAUACUGUCAAGCUCGAGUCCGGAAGAGGCGAGUGGAAUCCAGGUGUAGCGGUGAAAUGCGUAGAGUAUCUGGAGGAACACCGGUGGCGAAGGCGGCAUCCUGGACCAACACUGACGCUGAGGAGCGAAAGCCAGGGGAGCAAAGCGGG
This 254-nucleotide ribosomal RNA is filed under the name uncultured bacterium. Its description in RNAcentral is "partial 16S ribosomal RNA". It matches the Rfam family "Bacterial small subunit ribosomal RNA", at positions 524 to 777 of the family's 1533-position model. The record is from RNAcentral.